UACAGAGGUCCCGAGCGUUGUUCGGAUUCACUGGGCGUAAAGGGUGCGUAGGUGGUGGGGUAAGUCGGAUGUGAAAUCUCGGAGCUCAACUCCGAAAUGGCAUUGGAAACUACCCUGCUGGAGGUUUGGAGGGGGGACUGGAAUACUUGGUGUAGCAGUGAAAUGCGUAGAUAUCAAGUGGAACACCAGUGGCGAAGGCGAGUCCCUGGACAAAACCUGACACUGAGGCACGAAAGCGUGGGGAGCAAACAGG
Molecule: ribosomal RNA, 253 nt
Filed under: uncultured bacterium
Lineage: Bacteria
Description: partial 16S ribosomal RNA
Rfam family: Bacterial small subunit ribosomal RNA
Source: RNAcentral